Molecule: ribosomal RNA, 792 nt
Filed under: Amynthas hupeiensis
Lineage: Eukaryota; Metazoa; Annelida; Clitellata; Crassiclitellata; Megascolecidae
Description: s-rRNA
Source: RNAcentral
CAGUUUGAUUCUGACUGAAAAAUUAACUUAUACCAACCAAAAUACAUGUAAACAACUAUAUGCCCGCACCACUAUACACAUAAAUAGAUAAAUAACUGUAUUAAGAAUAAACUCAAUACAACAGGGCGCCACAGUAAGUAACACUUUUAAAUUUGAGAAAUCAAGAAAAGAGUAUGGUAUAAGGUCUGGCAAAAUUCGUGCCAGCUGCCGCGGUUAGACGAUAAGCCCAAGUUAAUAAAAUAUAAACUAAAUUAAUGAUAAAUUAAAUAAUAUAAAAAGUCUAAUUUCUAAGAUCCACGACUCAUAUUUAUCUAAUAAAAAUGAAAUCAUGAACUAAAACAUGGAUUAGAUACCCAUCUAUUCAUGACAUAAAUAACAGUUGAAUAUUACGAACAACAGUUUAAAAUUCAAAGAUUUUGGCGGUGUCUUAUAAAACCAGGGGAACCUGUCUCAUAACUCGAUAAUCCACGCAUACCCAACCUUCUCUAGAUAUACAGCAUGUGUACUGCCGUUGCAAGCAUACCUUUAAAAGAACAAGUAUGCCACUAUGGCUAGUAAUAGCCCACACACAUCAGGUCAAAGUGCAGCCAAUAAGAAGGUGAUGAUGGGUUACAACCCAAAAACAGAAUAUCAACUAAGAAAUUAAAAAUCUUACGAAAGUGGACUUGGCUGUAAUUAAUUUAUAAGUUAAAGAAAUGAACAAAAAUCUAAGACAUGCACACAUCGCCCGUCACUCUAUCCUAAAGGAUAGAUAAGUCGUAACAAAGUAGGUGUAAUGGAAAUUGCACCUGU